AGGGCGCACGGUGGAUGCCUUGGCACUAGGAGCCGAUGAAGGACGGGACUAACACCGAUAUGCUUUGGGGAGCUGUAAGUAAGCUAUGAUCCAGAGAUUUCCGAAUGGGGGAACCCAAUAUCUUUUAUAGGAUAUUACUUUUCAGUGAAUACAUAGCUGAUUAGAGGUAGACGCAGAGAACUGAAACAUCUUAGUACCUGCAGGAAGAGAAAGAAAAUUCGAUUCCCUGAGUAGCGGCGAGCGAAACGGGAAGAGCCCAAACCAACAAGCUUGCUUGUUGGGGUUGUAGGACUCCAAUAUGGUAGUCUGUUAGUAUAGUUGAAGGAUUUGGAAAAUUCCGCUAAAGAGGGUGAAAGCCCCGUAGACGAAAUGCUGACAACACCUAGGAGGAUCCUGAGUACGGCGGAACACGAGAAAUUCCGUCGGAAUCCGCGGGGACCAUCCCGCAAGGCUAAAUACUCCCUAGUGACCGAUAGUGAACCAGUACCGUGAGGGAAAGGUGAAAAGCACCCCGGAAGGGGAGUGAAAUAGAUCCUGAAACCGUGUGCCUACAACAAGUCAAAGCUCGUUAAUGAGUGAUGGCGUGCCUUUUGUAGAAUGAACCGGCGAGUUACGAUUGCAUGCGAGGUUAAGUCGAAGAGACGGAGCCGCAGCGAAAGCGAGUCUGAAUAGGGCGAAUGAGUAUGUAGUCGUAGACCCGAAACCAUGUGAUCUACCCAUGUCCAGGUUGAAGGUGCGGUAAAACGCACUGGAGGACCGAACCCACGUACGUUGAAAAGUGCGGGGAUGAGGUGUGGGUAGCGGAGAAAUUCCAAACGAACUUGGAGAUAGCUGGUUCUCUCCGAAAUAGCUUUAGGGCUAGCCUCGGAAUUGAGAAUGAUGGAGGUAGAGCACUGUUUGGACUAGGGGCCCAUCUCGGGUUACCGAAUUCAGAUAAACUCCGAAUGCCAUUCAUUUAUAUCCGGGAGUCAGACUGCGAGUGAUAAGAUCCGUAGUCGAAAGGGAAACAGCCCAGACCACCAGCUAAGGUCCCAAAAUAUAUGUUAAGUGGAAAAGGAUGUGGGGUUGCACAGACAACUAGGAUGUUGGCUUAGAAGCAGCCACCAUUUAAAGAGUGCGUAAUAGCUCACUAGUCGAGUGACCCUGCGCCGAAAAUGUACCGGGGCUAAACAUAUUACCGAAGCUGUGGACUACACCAUUAGGUGUAGUGGUAGGAGAGCGUUCUAAGGGCGUUGAAGGUCGAUCGUGAGGACGGCUGGAGCGCUUAGAAGUGAGAAUGCCGGUAUGAGUAGCGAAAGACAGGUGAGAAUCCUGUCCACCGUAUGACUAAGGUUUCCUGGGGAAGGCUCGUCCGCCCAGGGUUAGUCGGGACCUAAGCCGAGGCCGAUAGGCGUAGGCGAUGGACAACAGGUUGAUAUUCCUGUACCAGUUGUUUUUGUUUGAGCAAUGGAGGGACGCAGUAGGCUAAGGAAUGCAUGCGAUUGGAAGUGCAUGUCCAAGCAAUGAGUCUUGAGUAGAGUUAAAUGCUUUACUCUCUAAGGACAAGUUGUGACGGGGAGCGAAAUAAUAGUAGCGAAGUUCCUGAUGUCACACUGCCAAGAAAAGCUUCUAGUGAGAAAACAACUGCCCGUACCGUAAACCGACACAGGUAGUCGAGGAGAGUAUCCUAAGGUGAGCGAGCGAACUCUCGUUAAGGAACUCGGCAAAAUGACCCCGUAACUUCGGGAGAAGGGGUGCUGACUUCGGUCAGCCGCAGUGAAUAGGCCCAAGCGACUGUUUAUCAAAAACACAGGUCUCUGCAAAAUCGUAAGAUGAAGUAUAGGGGCUGACGCCUGCCCGGUGCUGGAAGGUUAAGAGGAUGGGUUAGCUUCGGCGAAGCUCAGAAUUGAAGCCCCAGUAAACGGCGGCCGUAACUAUAACGGUCCUAAGGUAGCGAAAUUCCUUGUCGGGUAAGUUCCGACCCGCACGAAAGGCGUAACGAUUUGGGCACUGUCUCAACGAGAGACUCGGUGAAAUUUUAGUACCUGUGAAGAUGCAGGUUACCCGCGACAGGACGGAAAGACCCCAUGGAGCUUUACUGUAGUUUGAUAUUGAGUGUUUGUACCACAUGUACAGGAUAGGUAGGAGCCGAUGAGACCGGAACGCUAGUUUCGGAGGAGGCGCUGGUGGGAUACUACCCUUGUGUUAUGAACCCUCUAACCCGCACCACUAAUCGUGGUGGGAGACAGUGUCAGAUGGGCAGUUUGACUGGGGCGGUCGCCUCCUAAAAGGUAACGGAGGCGCCCAAAGGUUCCCUCAGAAUGGUUGGAAAUCAUUCGAAGAGUGUAAAGGCAGAAGGGAGCUUGACUGCGAGACCUACAAGUCGAGCAGGGACGAAAGUCGGGCUUAGUGAUCCGGUGGUUCCGCAUGGAAGGGCCAUCGCUCAACGGAUAAAAGCUACCCUGGGGAUAACAGGCUUAUCUCCCCCAAGAGUCCACAUCGACGGGGAGGUUUGGCACCUCGAUGUCGGCUCAUCGCAUCCUGGGGCUGUAGUCGGUCCCAAGGGUUGGGCUGUUCGCCCAUUAAAGCGGUACGCGAGCUGGGUUCAGAACGUCGUGAGACAGUUCGGUCCCUAUCCGUCGCGGGCGUAGGAAAUUUGAGAGGAGCUGCCCUUAGUACGAGAGGACCGGGGUGGACGUACCUCUGGUGUAUCAGUUGUUCCGCCAGGAGCAUCGCUGAGUAGCUAUGUACGGAUGAGAUAAACGCUGAAAGCAUCUAAGUGUGAAACUCGCCUCGAGAUGAGAUUUCCCAUUCU
Molecule: ribosomal RNA, 2794 nt
Filed under: metagenome
Description: bacterial LSU rRNA
Rfam family: Bacterial large subunit ribosomal RNA
Source: RNAcentral